Molecule: unclassified non-coding RNA, 333 nt
Organism: Pelodiscus sinensis (Chinese soft-shelled turtle)
Lineage: Eukaryota; Metazoa; Chordata; Testudines; Trionychidae
Gene: 7SK
Rfam family: 7SK RNA
About the family: 7SK was discovered as an abundant small nuclear RNA in the mid-70s but a possible function has only recently been suggested. Two independent studies have found that 7SK RNA binds the CDK9/cyclin T complex (known as elongation factor P-TEFb). P-TEFb activates transcription by phosphorylating the C-terminal domain of RNA polymerase II.
Source: Ensembl
GGAUGUGAGGGCGAUCUGGCUGCGACAUCUGUCACCCCAUUGAUCGCCAGGGUUGAUUCGGCUGAUCUGGCUGGCUAGGCGGGUGUCCCCUUCCUCCCUCACCGCUCCAUGUGCGUCCCUCCCGAAGCUGUGCGCUCGGUCGAAGAGGACGACCUUCCCAGAUAGAGGAGUACCGAUCUUCGGUCAAGGGUAUACGAUAGCUGCGCUCCCCUGCUAGAACCUCCAAACAAGCUAAGCUCAAGGUCCAUUUGUAGGAGAACGUAGGGUAGUCAAGCUUCCAAGACUCCAGACACAUCCAAAUGAGGCGCUGCAUGUGGCAGUCUGCCUUUCUUU